This 272-nucleotide ribosomal RNA is filed under the name Finegoldia magna. RNAcentral's name for it is "partial 23S ribosomal RNA". It matches the Rfam family "Bacterial large subunit ribosomal RNA", at positions 1 to 263 of the family's 2925-position model. The record is from RNAcentral. Lineage: Bacteria; Bacillati; Bacillota; Tissierellia; Tissierellales; Peptoniphilaceae.
AGUAUAUAUUUCCGGUCAAGAAACUAAGGGCGCAAGGCGGAUGCCUUGGCACCAGGAGGCGAAGAAGGACGUGACAAGCAACGAAAACCUCGAAUAGGAGCAAAUAUCCAGUAACUCGGGGGAAUCCAAAUGGGGAAACCUACUAGACACACUCUAGUAUCCAUACGUAAAUACAUAGCGUAUGGAGGCGAAUGUUCUGAACUGAAACAUCUAAGUAGGAACAAGAAAAGAAAGAAAACUCGAUUCUCCAAGUAGCGGCGAGCGAACAGAGA